AUGAAGUUUGGUUCAAUAUAUGAGGAGUACCUCAGGGCAGAGCAGGACAAAUAUCUUGCUAAAUGCUCCCAUGUAGAGUACAAACGUCUCAAGAAGGUAUUGAAGCGAUGCCGACUCGAUCGCUCAUUGCAAGCAGAUGGCACCAACGGUGAGCAGCAGGAGGACAGGAGCGACGAUUCUUCAGAUGCUUGCGACUGCAAUUCUUGCACAUUGUGUGAUCAGAUGUUCUUUACAGAACUCACCAAGGAGACUUCAGAUAUAGCUGGCUAUUUCAGCUCUAGAGUACAGCAUCUUCUAAAUCUUCAUGUUCCUUCAGGAUUGCAACGGUAUAUAUGGCGCGUACGUCAAUGCUUCAUAGAUGAUCAACAAAUCAUGGUUCAAGAAGGCAGACUGCUAGUCAACUAUGUGACUAUGAAUGCUAUUGCUAUUCGCAAAAUUCUCAAGAAAUAUGACAAAGUACAUGGCUCUGUUAGCGGUAGAGAUUUCAGGAGCAAGAUGCAAAGUGAGCAUACUGAACUGUUGCAGUCACCUUGGCUGAUCGAGCUGGGUGCUUUCCAUCUGAACUGUGAUAGUUCAGACAUUGAUGAACCAGUAGGGUUCUUCAAGAACGGAUUCUUCAAGAAUUUUUCCUGUGACUUGACAGGAACACAGCCAGUAAUGACAAUGGCCAUUUCUGAAACUAUCAAAUAUGACUACAGUCUAACUUGUCCAAUUUGCUUGGACACCUUGUUCAAUCCAUAUGCGCUUAGCUGCGGUCACCUCUUCUGCAAAGGCUGUGCAUGUGGUGCUGCAUCUGUGUACAUCUUCCAGGGUGUUAGGAGCGCACCUCCAGAGGCCAAGUGCCCUGUAUGCCGAGAGGUUGGCGUGUUUGCUCAUGCCGUGCAUAUGAACGAACUUGACCUGCUCAUCAAAACCAGGUGCAAAGAUUACUGGAGAUGCAGGCUACGCGAGGAGCGGACCGAGAUGGUGAAGCAAUCCAAAGAAUACUGGGAGUCCCAGGCCAUGCUGUCGAUGGGUAUCUGA
Molecule: ribosomal RNA, 1023 nt
Filed under: Triticum aestivum (bread wheat)
Lineage: Eukaryota; Viridiplantae; Streptophyta; Magnoliopsida; Poales; Poaceae
Description: partial small subunit ribosomal RNA
Source: RNAcentral